GGACAGAAAGGGUUAGGUGGCUGUGCUAGGGGACAGGAAGGAGCAAGCUGGACAUGCAGCAGGAAGGCAGAAGGAGGAGAGAAAGAGCCAGAGCUGUGUGGAGCUAUUCAUGGGACUGCAACAUAGAAAAGUACGGGGGCCACCCCAUUCGAGGGAUGCCAGAUCAAGCUGCUGCUACGUUUCGUAUCAAACCCAAAGUGUUGUUGCUUUUGCACUUACCUUUCACUCGGGCAAAGACUGACCGUGACUCAUGUAACCGGGGCGUUCCACCAGAGCUGCUGCUCCUGGCAGCAGGAGUGCUCGAGCACACUGACUCAGCUCUCUCUGGAUGGCCACGUGUGACGGGGAAGUUCAGAACAGCAUCCUCUGGGACACCUUGCAUGCAGCGUGAACAUGUGCUUACUUCCUGUCCUUCCUUUCUUCUCCAUCCCUCUGAAUGUCUCUGUGGGGCCUCGGGAGCCCCUCCAUGUGCUGGCCCGGGUGACAGGAAUGCCAGACAGGAUCACUAGAGCAUCAUGUUGCUCUGGACACAGCACCAGCUGCGGGCUGCAGCCAUCAGCUGGAGCUAACAAAAUUGGAUGUCCACAGCUGUGCAAAGCACUGCUUCCAGCAUCAGCGCUCCAGACUGAAGGCUCGUACUCACUCCUCAUGGAUGGGGUGCAAAAGGUUCGUAAAACUUUGUGUCCUUGGGCAAAGAAAAGCACUGCAUCUGCCAGUGCAAAAUGCCUGGAAGGAAGAAAGGGAGGGAAGGAGGGAGAGUGAGACAGAGAAAAUACCUGAACUGUGACUUUUGUUAUCUCUGAAGAAGACUUUUUUUCUAAUGUUCUUCUUUCUUUGAAAAAAGGAAACAAAAGCAGGCAGUAGAACACGUCCUGUCAAAUUCUGACCCAACCGUUUUGUGCAACAGUACUGAACAAAGGGAAGUUCGGGGUGUUGUUAAACUCUCCCAGCACACCCACUGCUAACCCCGUACUGGGGUGCAGUCCCCCCAUUCCUCUCCCCUGACAAACUUCGCUGAUUAGUUUCUGUCAUCACACCCGGGCUGACUUCUGCACCCUGAUCUCCAAACAGUGACCUCAUUGCCUUGUUCAGCUGGUGAGAAACGACAGUAAAAUGGAAGAGGUAAACAAAGUGGGGGGAACUAAUGGCCAGAAGAUUUAGGAGGCAGGAAUCUCCUCCUUGCAACCCUGCUCCCAUUGUGUGCCUGAGCUUGAGAAAGUGCAAGCUGAGUCUUGACAAGCUCUUUUCUGUGACGGUUCCUCUGGAAACUCAGCCCAGUCCUCCAGAUGGUGACUUGGGACAGACAGACCACAAAUUAUACGUCAAAUAGUACUAGACCCACGCUCCUGUCUCUGCAACAAAUUCUGCAUAGUACUGGAAUUCACCACCUUCUGCAGCAGGAGCUCAUCAUUCCCAGCCCAACUGUCUCACCAAGAUAUAAAUAUUAAAAAAACAAAAGCCUGUGUUGUCACGGAGCUGAAUUUGUGUCUGCUCUGUGCAGCCAGCAGUGUGCCUACCUCUAACGGAGCUGCGGUUCACGUUCACACUGAUUAGAGAAAUAGCAUUAACAACGCUCUGCCUAUGAGGAGUAUCUUCAUUACUCCUACACAAUGCAGCCUUCAAUAUCUUCCUUUUGGGACGUGUUUCAAAGUGUCACCCUGUCCCUGACCCUGACAGACACCUCCAGGUCCUGGCCAGCAGCAGCUCAACUCCCAUUUGUCUUCCCAGACACUCAGUAAACACCUUUGUGUCCUUUUUCUUUAGAGGAAGGGGUCUUGCUGAGCUCACCCUGAAAUAUAUCACCCUGGACAAAAGGGCUGAAAGGUUAAGGAGCUCCAGGGGGUGGUUCAGCAGAGGGCUGGGGCCAGUUGCCUGCCAGAACCAAAGCUAUAAAGACAGAGAGGGGCUAGGGACCACAUCCAACACGGAUGCUGUGAGCCCUGCCCUGCCUCCCACCAGCCCUGGGCUAAGAAGAUGCUGGGGCUUCGGUUGUGGCCUUGCUCCUUUUUCCUCUUCUCGGUCCUGCUCUCUGCCAGCGUUCAGACAGUGUCCUUACCAGGACAGAGGCUACAGGUAGGAGGGAGUGGGAGAGAGCUGAGGUUGAUUUCAGGAGGGGAGGAGGAGGGGAGGUUGUGUUUGAACCUCGAAUGAGAGGUGGUCUCAGAUUCCAACUACAAGGAGGUUUCUGUCUGUUCUUGUUGCACUCUCCCCUUCAUCAGCCUCAGCUCCAGGGUGACUUUAUAACCCAGCCACUAAGGAGCACCAGCAUUGCAAGACAGGAAACAGACAAAGGCUUUUUAGAGCUCUGCAAAAGCUUUAAACAGUGAAGAGCCUGGUCCUUUCUAAGCCCACUCUGUGUCAGCAGCCACCAAAUAUUAGUCGUGUUUAUCAUCAUGUUCAGUGCCUGGUUCUGAUGCUUCAGAGGGAAGAUGGAUCCUGUUAGGCCUGUUUACUCCUAAGCUCAGUACUACCCCCCUUAAAGGGGGCCCUCUUUAAGGCCAAGAGCCCUGUCAGGAUGCCAGCUAGGGGCUUCUUUGCUUGAGUAAAUCUUUUAUUCUCAGCAAUUACAGCAAUAAUAUUUUUGGCUUUCAAAUGUAGCCAGCUCCCUGUUACCAAACCCUAACCUGAGCCUCAGCACCCUGCCUUUACAUCACUCUGGGAAAGGCACAGGGGAAUAGUCAGGACAUGAACUACAAUCACAAGACUGAUCCUGCCGUGACUCACCACUUUCAUUCCUCGAUGAGGAUGCCUGUGUCCGCUUCAGUUAACUUGCUACCACAAAGAGCUGCACAAAGGCAUCCUCAGCCUUAGCUCAGCAUCCAUGUGAGAGACAGAUGUGGAACGGCUCCUGCUGGCUGCUUCUCUGGGCAGCAAUGCCGUGCCUCCACCGCACCCAACACACCCCCCCAACCCUCGUCUCCCAGCAGUGCUGGGGGUUUACAGUUGGCACAGCUAACCGAGAGAUUUCCAGCACAUGGAGAGACCCCUUUCCUCACACCUGCUCUGCUCCUGCCUCUCUCUCAUCUUUAGCAGCAGGU
Molecule: RNA transcript, 3038 nt
Organism: Hirundo rustica (Barn swallow)
Lineage: Eukaryota; Metazoa; Chordata; Aves; Passeriformes; Hirundinidae
Gene name: C-type natriuretic peptide 1-like
Exons: 2
Source: RefSeq, a predicted model, not a curated record